GCUGAAAGUAGUAGGAAAGGGAAAAGGUCAACAGGAGUCAGAGCCAGACUGGCAGCUGCCAGAGCCCCUGCUGUGGCCCGUGGGGACACCCACCCCGAGGGCUUUUGCAGCUCGGGCAUAUUGCCCGUGAUCAUCGCCACGGUCAGAUGAAACUGGAGCAGUCAGGCCACUGAAGACAGUUCCGGCUGCUUUUACUUAUUGUUACUCUCUGCCAGCAGUACGUCAUCUUUCAUGGCCCACAGACCCCCCCCUUCUUUGCAUCGUUUAAUUGCCAAAAUAAAAUACAUGGUAUUACAAAGGAAAGCAAUUAUAUUGCACAUGUUUUUUAAAUAUUGAAUAUAAAAUUCUAAGCUAAUUAUACAUAUACAUGUCUUUAUGAAAACAUCAAGUAACAAGAUUUAGAAGCGAGUCUAACAACUGUCAUGAUUUUGAAGUAGUGAUGAGUAGUAAUGAUACUUCAUCACAUAGUGUGCUAUGAUGUUAUUUGUGAUUCCUAUUGCCUUAAAGUCACAGGUUCUGUUAAUAUUACUGGAGUUCGUCGCCCACCUUCACAACAGAGGGAAAUAAUGAACUUCAGUUAAAGUCUUUCCAGAAUGACCACAUCUACAUCUGCAGAAGCUUGCUGGGACAUCCACCCCAUCCGUAUCUCUCUUAGGUACCUCUAACCCAACAGGUCUCAAAAUAAACUUACAAUAACCAGCAA
Molecule: long non-coding RNA, 703 nt
Organism: Felis catus (domestic cat)
Lineage: Eukaryota; Metazoa; Chordata; Mammalia; Carnivora; Felidae
Exons: 2
Source: RefSeq, a predicted model, not a curated record